RNAcentral lists this ribosomal RNA (445 nucleotides) under uncultured bacterium. Its description in RNAcentral is "SSU rRNA". It matches the Rfam family "Bacterial small subunit ribosomal RNA", at positions 26 to 518 of the family's 1533-position model. The record is from RNAcentral.
AGAACGAACGCUGGCGGCAUGCCUAACACAUGCAAGUCGAACGGGACCUUCGGGUCUAGUGGCGCACGGGUGCGUAACGCGUGGGAAUCUGCCCUCAGGUACGGAAUAACUCAGGGAAACUUGAGCUAAAUACCGUAUAAUGACUUCGGUCCAAAGAUUUAUCGCCUGAGGAUGAGCCCGCGUAGGAUUAGCUUGUUGGUGAGGUAAAGGCUCACCAAGGCGACGAUCCUUAGCUGGUCUGAGAGGAUGAUCAGCCACACUGGGACUGAGACACGGCCCAGACUCCUACGGGAGGCAGCAGUGGGGAAUAUUGGACAAUGGGCGAAAGCCUGAUCCAGCAAUGCCGCGUGAGUGAUGAAGGCCUUAGGUUGUAAAGCUCUUUUACCCGGGAUGAUAAUGACGGUACCCACAGAAGAAGCCCGGCUAACUUCGUGCCAGCAGCCGC